UACAGAGGGGGCAAGCGUUAUUCGGAAUUAUUGGGCGUAAAGGGCGCGUAGGCGGACAGUUUAGUCAGAGGUGAAAGCCCAGGGCUCAACCUUGGAACUGCCUUUGAUACUGGCUGUCUUGAGUUCGGGAGAGGUGAGUGGAAUGCCGAGUGUAGAGGUGAAAUUCGUAGAUAUUCGGCGGAACACCAGAGGCGAAGGCGACUCACUGGCCCGAUACUGACGCUGAGGCGCGAAAGCGUGGGGAGCAAACAGG
This 253-nucleotide ribosomal RNA is filed under the name uncultured bacterium. RNAcentral's name for it is "partial 16S ribosomal RNA". It matches the Rfam family "Bacterial small subunit ribosomal RNA", at positions 524 to 776 of the family's 1533-position model. The record is from RNAcentral.